Molecule: ribosomal RNA, 211 nt
Filed under: uncultured bacterium
Lineage: Bacteria
Description: partial 16S ribosomal RNA
Rfam family: Bacterial small subunit ribosomal RNA
Source: RNAcentral
UACGGAGGAUGCAAGCGUUAUCCGGAAUGAUUGGGCGUAAAGCGUCCGCAGGUGCGUAUGUAAGUCUGCGUGUUAAAGCGUCUAGCUCAACUAGAUACAAGCAGUGGAAACUAGCAUAGCUAGAGUGCGUUCGGGGCAGAGGGAAUUCCUGGUGUAGCGGUGAAAUGCGAUAGAUAUCAGGAAGAACACCGGUGGCGAAAGCGCUCUGCUA